AUGGACCUCAUGGGCAGGAACGUGCAUCAGCGCUGGUUCCUCCUGUUUCUAGUGGCAGCUCCCAGAUGUGUCCUGUCCCAGGUACAGCUGCAGGAGUCGGGACAAAGCCUGGUGACGCCCUUGCAGACGCUAUCUCUCACCUGCUCGGUCUCUGGAUUUUCUCUAACCAACAAAGCUGUGCACUGGGUCCGCCAGGCCCCUGGAAAGGGACUAGAUUGGAUUGGUGUUAUAUGGAAUACUGGGGUCACAGCCUAUAACCCAAGUCUUCAGUCCCGACUCAGCAUCUCCAGGGACACUUCCAAGAACCAAGUUUACCUAAAACUGAGCAACUCACUGACUGAGGACACAGCUGUGUAUUAUUGUGCAAGACACACAGUGAGGGCAAGUCCCUGUGAGCGCAGACACAAACUUGCUGAGUGA
This is a non-coding RNA of Sorex araneus (European shrew), 420 nucleotides long. The record is from the annotation of a RefSeq genome assembly. Lineage: Eukaryota; Metazoa; Chordata; Mammalia; Eulipotyphla; Soricidae.